RNAcentral lists this ribosomal RNA (531 nucleotides) under Bruchidius unicolor. RNAcentral describes it as "partial 16S ribosomal RNA". It matches the Rfam family "Bacterial large subunit ribosomal RNA", at positions 1807 to 2608 of the family's 2925-position model. Lineage: Eukaryota; Metazoa; Arthropoda; Insecta; Coleoptera; Chrysomelidae. The record is from RNAcentral.
UCAAAAACAUGGCCUAUUGAUAAUAAUUUUAGGUUUGGCCUGCCCCCUGAGGAUUUAAAUGGCCGCGGUAUUUUGACCGUGCUAAGGUAGCAUAAUCAUUAGUUUCUUAAUUAGAAGCUAGAAUGAAUGGUUGGAUGAAAAAAAAUCUGUCUCUAUUUAAAAUUUUAUUAGAACUUAAUUUUUUAGUAAAAAAGCUAAAAUAAAUUUAAAAGACGAGAAGACCCUAUAGAGUUUUAUAUUUAAAAAAAAUUAAAAUUUAUUAGGAUAUAAUUUUUUGAUUUUUUUAAUUAUUUGGUUGGGGUGAUUGAAAAAUUAAAUUAACUUUUUCUUUUUAUAAACAAUAAUUUUUGAGUAAUUGAUCCAUUUUUUAUGAUUAAAAGAUUAAAUUACCUUAGGGAUAACAGCGUAAUAUUUUCAGAGAGUUCUUAUCGAAGAAAAAGAUUGCGACCUCGAUGUUGGAUUAAAAUUAACUUUGGGUGUAGAAGCUUGAAAGUUGGGUCUGUUCGACCUUUAAAAUUUUACAUGAUCUGA